Molecule: long non-coding RNA, 3136 nt
Organism: Dermacentor silvarum
Lineage: Eukaryota; Metazoa; Arthropoda; Arachnida; Ixodida; Ixodidae
Exons: 3
Source: RefSeq, a predicted model, not a curated record
AGAAUUAACAAGAACUCGUGAUGUAACAUUGUUGUUUUGUCCUCAAAUGUAUUUACAACACGUCCCAUGUUGAUGUCAAUGAUGCGGGGUGAUGCACAUUGCGGUUGACUGCCCGCACGUGCUUUAAAAUUUAAAUAUGUUUCCAGCUACACUCUCUGUUGAUAUUUUGUAAAUGUUGUGUGUGAUUGUUUGUAGAAAUCGAUCUCACAAGUUAUGACAACUUCGAAAUUUUGUGUCCGUACUUCUAAAGGGGCCCUGAAACACUUUUUUGAACAUACAGUGGAAUCUCAUUGAUACGAUUCUGCAUAAUACAUUUUUCGGGAUAAUACGUUUUCCGUUCUUUUCCCAGCCUGUGUCUUACAGGAGCAAUGUAUUUCGGAUAAUACGAUUUUUGCAUGAUACGGUUUAUUUUCCGGUUCCCGUGAAGAUCGUAUUAACAAGAUUCCACUGUACAGUAAAAUCUCAUUACUACGAACCCCACAUUAACAAACUUUUCAGAUUAACGUAGUUUUCAGAAAUCCCCCGCUGACUUCUUAUGGGUUCAAUGUAAAAAUAUUUCAGUACUACGAACUUCAGAAUACCGAACUUUUCAGAAUAACGAUCAUUAUUCAGUUUCCGUGUCAGGUUAACAACGCCUCAGUACUACGAACUAAUAUUCAAAAAUCUGGGGAUUCUUUGAUUUCCCCGUAUCCAGUCACGGCAGCCAAAACAGGAGGCUAGUGGACGCCGCGGCGCAUGGGUUCGGGAAACCUGAGUACGCUGGCACGCAGCAUCGGCACGUUGGAAAGCGGGGCGGCCCCCUCUUGAAAGGCCAGUUGCCCAUGAUAAUCACUCCACGAGUUCCGAAAAAGCCUUGAAAGCAGCGAGACGAUCACGGGAAUCGGUGACAGCGGCAUGUCACAAGGGAAGCGGCUGUCGCCCGCGCACGUCUUUUCCGUACCAGCCAACCCUAAGGCUGGCAGAUGACAUGCCGGCGCGCGUUGCAGUGGGUCCGUCCCUGGUUUAGGGCGGCGCCCUUGUGCUCAACAACGACGCAGUGUAUCCAAAGACCCCGCGUGGACGGAUAUUCCAACAGCGCAGCUCAGUAGAGCAGUGGGACCAGCGAGGCGAGAAGGUGCGCAUCAGGUCGGGCAUCGCCGCGAACUACUUUAGCUCUCGACUCGCGCUUUUUCAUUCUGAAACAGGAUAAUAGUAUGUCAGCUUAACAUUCAGGUGAGCCGUUCUUUCUGAAAAGGUCCCAAAGUGGCGACUGUCAUGCGCAGGGCCGUCCGAACACUAGCUGAGGCGACGACGCAUCAGGUUUUGCAAGCGCAUGCUCCGCCCAGACAGGUGUCGCCUAGCAAUGGAGGCGCGUCUCUUCCUUCUUCCUGCGCGCCUCUUUUGCGCAGCUACGUGCGCGGAGAAAUGUAACCUUCGUACUUGCGGAGUUGCCACACGGUCACACUUUGUACUAUCUGGGCGGUGUCACUUACGCGCGCUUGUGCUUUGAAAUAGUUCACUGUGUCCACCUCAAGCAAGACAGCUGCGGUGUCCACGGCAAGGAAUGUGAAAAACAAACAAGCUUUGCAGGCGACAUGGAUCUUUCUUUUUGUUGGUAGUUUUCCCAGUGUUGGCAUCUGUUUUGAGCGUGUCACUCUUAUUACACGGUGCUUCGAUGGUGCAUGGGGCCGGAAUCUAUGGCAAAUAGCAACAGCACUGGCCGAGAGCGAAAAUCGCCGUCUUCGUGGAUAGCUCAUAUGGUGACAAGUUAUGAACUGAUGGGUUAGUGGGCGGAAUGGUUCAUUUUUGGACUUUCACUGUAACGACUUCAGAAUAACGAACCAUUUACCGCGGUCCCCUGAAGUUUGUUAUAUCGAGAUUUCACUGUAGUGUGAAAACAUUGCUGAUCUGUCGUAGAGGCUGCUGUGAACAUGUGAGCCAAAUAUUAUACUACAAUGCAUGCAGCACGGAAUUUACAAUCUUCUGUCAAACACCGGGAAAAAUCGCUCGCUCUCGUUUCCGCAAUGUUGUCAUGCAGCAUCAUCGAAAGCAGUUGGACCCAGCAACGCUUUUGGCUGAUUUCAUGAUCGCGAGAGCAUUCUCAGUAAUUCGUAAUUGCUAACUGAAGUUAAAUAAAUGAAAAAUAUUUUUUUUAUUCUUAAAAGACUGAAAAUUCAGUUCUUCGCUGCGUGUAGCUGUGUCUGCUGCGUGUGGCCUCCGAGGUACCAGCGGCAAGCUGUGUAGUGUAGUCUACCGCGGCUGCCGCGACACUCAACUUUUGACCGGGGCUUUGUGCCCUGUUGGCUUCUCCACUCUGUAGCUUCCAGCGCGCUAGCUAAGUCGAAAAGAAAGAGAAAGCCGGAUAUCUCUGCGAUAAGUCCACUUAUAGUUGACGGACUAAAAAAAUUAUUGCAACCUGUCAUUCGUGAGACUACGUCCUUUAAUAUUGAGACUAUCCGAUGAUUAGUUUUAAAAAAGCGUUUCAGGGACCCUUUAAGAGAAAGCUUUAGCUCCGAGCUUCCAAUUUAAAUACCUGGGAAGGGAGAAAUCGUUUUCUCAGCAGCCGCUGCAUCGAUUUUGAUGGCUUUGUUGCAAGAAAAGUUAAUUUUUUUUUACAAUUGUUGAAAUAAAAAAAAAAAGAAAAAAAUGAAAUUUUCUUAAUAUGCUGUAUGUUUAUCAGAUAAUUAAAUUGUCACACCUUGUUAUAACGAAGUUGCAUCAGAGACGAUACCUUCGUUAUAUCCAAUAUUCAUUGUGCACAUCUAUGCAUUACACACUGGUAUUGACAAGAGACAUCUUAGAUUUACUUUGUUGUAUCUUAUAAUUCGUUCUAUUGAAGUCCAACUCUACAGGGCUUCGAGAUACAAUAAUUUUUUUUUUCUAUGCUUUAUAGCAGAGGUGGGUGCCAGAUUGCACUAAAUGAUAUUACUCAAUGCAAUUAGUGAAAUUUUGGUGACGGACUUUUCAAAUGAAUAAGUUAGGGGCAUGUUGCGAUUGCAGAAGUCAAGCAAGCCAGUACUAAAAGUAUAGCCUCUUGCUAGGAAGCAUCUGUUUUGAGAAAUAAGUACUCGAGAAAUCUACAGUGAAAUCAGCAGCAAUUCUACCCACACCCCUGCAUUUUCUUUCAUGCCAAAGGUCAUUUCGAUUUUUCUCUCUC